CGCGGCCUAUCAGCUUGUUGGUGAGGUAACGGCUCACCAAGGCUUCGACGGGUAGCUAGUCUGAGAGGACGAUUAGCCACACUGGGACUGAGACACGGCCCAGACUCCUACGGGAGGCAGCAGUGGGGAAUCUUGCGCAAUGGGCGAAAGCCUGACGCAGCAACGCCGCGUGGGGGAUGAAGGCUUUCGGGUUGUAAACCCCUUUCAGCAGGGACGAUUAUGACGGUACCUGCAGAAGAAGGACCGGCCAACUACGUGCCAGCAGCCGCGGUGACACGUAGGCACCAAGCGUUAUCCGGAUUUAUUGGGCGUAAAGAGCUCGUAGGCGGUUUGGUAAGUCGGGUGUGAAAACUCUGGGCUCAACCCAGAGAGGCCACCCGAUACUGCUAUGACUAGAGUACGGUAGGGGAGCGGGGAAUUCAUGGUGUAGCGGUGAAAUGCGCAGACAUCAUGAGGAACACCAGCGGCGAAGGCGCCGCUCUGGGCCGUAACUGACGCUGAGGAGCGAAAGCAUGGGUAGCAAACAGGAUUAGAUACCCUGGUAGUCCAUGCCGUAAACGUUGGGCACUAGGUGUGGGUCUCAACCAACGAGAUCCGCGCCGUCGCUAACGCAUUAAGUGCCCCGCCUGGGGAGUACGG
Molecule: ribosomal RNA, 639 nt
Filed under: uncultured Actinomycetes bacterium
Lineage: Bacteria; Bacillati; Actinomycetota; Actinomycetes
Description: bacterial SSU rRNA
Rfam family: Bacterial small subunit ribosomal RNA
Source: RNAcentral